UACGGGAGGCAGCAGUGGGGAAUCUUGCGCAAUGGGCGAAAGCCUGACGCAGCCAUGCCGCGUGAAUGAUGAAGGUCUUAGGAUUGUAAAAUUCUUUCACCGGGGACGAUAAUGACGGUACCCGGAGAAGAAGCCCCGGCUAACUUCGUGCCAGCAGCCGCGGUAAUACGAAGGGGCUAGCGUUGCUCGGAAUUACUGGGCGUAAAGGGCGCGUAGGCGGAUCGUUAAGUCAGAGGUGAAAUCCCAGGGCUCAACCCUGGAACUGCCUUUGAUACUGGCGAUCUUGAGUAUGAGAGAGGUAUGUGGAACUCCGAGUGUAGAGGUGAAAUUCGUAGAUAUUCGGAAGAACACCAGUGGCGAAGGCGACAUACUGGCUCAUUACUGACGCUGAGGCGCGAAAGCGUGGGGAGCAAACAGGGAUUAGAUACC
RNAcentral lists this ribosomal RNA (429 nucleotides) under uncultured bacterium. RNAcentral's name for it is "bacterial SSU rRNA". It matches the Rfam family "Bacterial small subunit ribosomal RNA", at positions 340 to 786 of the family's 1533-position model. The record is from RNAcentral.